UGGGAUUUAGCUCAAUGGUAGAGCGCUUGCCUAGCAAGCGCAAGGCCCUGGGUUCGGUCCCCAGCUCCCAA
This 71-nucleotide transfer RNA is filed under the name Rattus norvegicus (Norway rat). It matches the Rfam family "tRNA". From Rfam's summary of the family: Transfer RNA (tRNA) molecules are approximately 80 nucleotides in length. The record is from Rfam by way of RNAcentral. Lineage: Eukaryota; Metazoa; Chordata; Mammalia; Rodentia; Muridae.